CCUACGGGAGACAGCAGUGAGGAAUAUUGGUCAAUGGGCGGGAGCCUGAACCAGCCAAGUCGCGUGAGGGAAGACGGUCCUAUGGAUUGUAAACCUCUUUUGGCGGGGAGCAAUGCCGGGCACGUGUGCCCGGAGGGAGAGUACCCGCAGAAUAAGCAUCGGCAAACCCCGUGCCAGCAGCCGCGGUAAUACGGAGGAUGCGAGCGUUAUCCGGAUUUAUUGGGUUUAAGGGUUGCGUAGGCGGAUUUUAAAGUCAGCGGUAAAAUGUCGGGGCUCAACCCGGGCCGGCCGUUGAAACUGGGGUUCUUGAGUGGGCGAGAAGUAUGCGGAAUGCGUGGUGUAGCGGUGAAAUGCAUAGAUAUCACGCAGAACUCCGAUUGCGAAGGCAGCAUACCGGCGCCCGACUGACGCUGAGGCACGAAAGCGUGGGGAUCGAACAGGAUUAGAUACCCCAGUAGUC
Molecule: ribosomal RNA, 460 nt
Filed under: uncultured bacterium
Lineage: Bacteria
Description: partial 16S ribosomal RNA
Rfam family: Bacterial small subunit ribosomal RNA
Source: RNAcentral